Long non-coding RNA from Panthera uncia (snow leopard), 723 nucleotides. RefSeq lists it as uncharacterized. NCBI's taxonomy places the organism in Eukaryota, Metazoa, Chordata, Mammalia, Carnivora, Felidae. The transcript is spliced from 4 exons. The record is from RefSeq and is a predicted model, not a curated record.
UAAAAGGCACUGGUUGGAACAGCUGGGAGACUUGCAGGAGGUUUGGUGACAGGGGCCAUUGGCCUGUUUCAACACCAAACACAUGAAAAACAUCAGGAUACUACCAAACAAAGACUGAAGACGAUGUCACAGAGUAUGGAGAGGACAGCAAGGACUUCACAGUCCAACUGAUUCCAAUUACAAGUCCACCACAUGCUCCCUGCAUGCACUGAGGAGGUAAUCAACCUUCCUGAGCCUCUGUUGCUUCAUCUCUAGAAGAGUCUUUGUAAUACCUGCCAGUCUAGUAUGCAUCCCACCGAAUCACAACCUCCUAUCAUUGCCUUGUCAUCAAGUCUUUGAGGGAUUGUGGACCAGGGAUGGAAGGAGCGAAGGAGUGACAGACUCGUUGGUAAUACAGAAUGAAGACAAUGAAACUUUUUACCUAAAGUGAUCAGCAUAAUGUCCUCUACUGAGAUAAAGAACGUGUUUCCAAAUUGCCUCUGGCAGGACAGAUAUCUAUCUAAGCAGAAAAUGAAGGAUGCAAAGGCACAUUCACUCAUUAAACCUCCAGGUGUUUCCACAAAUUGGCAAAGGAAAUAGAAAUAAUGGACAUCACAUGCUUCUUGCAAUAGCCAGCAAUUAAUGGAAAGGGCUCUCACAGCCAUAGUUAACUCAGCGAUAAACUCAUAUCCUUCCCAUCUAACUCCAGGAGCAAAUUUCUGAGUAAACAAAUGAGUUAAUUUG